GUUUGAUAAGUCAGUGGUGAAAGUUUGCAGCUUAACUGUAAAAUUGCCAUUGAUACUGUCAGACUUGAGUACAGAUGAGGUAGGCGGAAUGUGUAGUGUAGCGGUGAAAUGCUUAGAUAUUACACAGAACACCGAUUGCGAAGGCGGCUUACCAAACUGUUACUGACGCUGAGGCACGAAAGUGUGGGGAUCAAACAGGAUUAGAUACCCUGGUAGUCCACACUGUAAACGAUGAUUACUGGAUGUUUGCGAUACACAGCAAGCGUCUCAAGCGAAAGCAUUAAGUAAUCCACCUGGGGAGUACGACCGCAAGGUUGAAACUCAAAGGAAUUGACGGGGGCCCGCACAAGCGGAGGAACAUGUGGUUUAAUUCGAUGAUACGCGAGGAACCUUACCCGGGCUCGAACGACAGGGGAAUAUGGGGGAAACUUCAUAGCCAGCAAUGGUCGCUGUCGAGGUGCUGCAUGGUUGUCGUCAGCUCGUGCCGUGAGGUGUCGGCUUAAGUGCCAUAACGAGCGCAACCCUUAUCUUUAGUUGCCAGCGGGUCAUGCCGGGGACUCUAGAGAAACUGCCAGCGUAAGCUGUGAGGAAGGUGGGGAUGACGUCAAAUCAGCACGGCCCUUACGUCCGGGGCGACACACGUGUUACAAUGGUCGGUACAGAGGGCAGCUACCUGGUGACAGGAUGCGAAUCUCUAAAGCCGAUCUCAGUUCGGAUUGGAGUCUGCAACUCGACUCCAUGAAGCUGGAUUCGCUAGUAAUCGCGCAUCAGCCAUGGCGCGGUGAAUACGUUCCCGGGCCUUGUACACACCGCCCGUCAAGCCAUGGAAGCUGGGGGUGCCUGAAGUACGUAACCGCAAGGAGCGUCCUAGGGCAAAACUGGUAACUGGGGCUAAGUCGUAACAAGGUAACC
RNAcentral lists this ribosomal RNA (912 nucleotides) under uncultured bacterium. Its description in RNAcentral is "bacterial SSU rRNA". It matches the Rfam family "Bacterial small subunit ribosomal RNA", at positions 578 to 1501 of the family's 1533-position model. The record is from RNAcentral.